This is a non-coding RNA of Triticum aestivum (bread wheat), 135 nucleotides long. Lineage: Eukaryota; Viridiplantae; Streptophyta; Magnoliopsida; Poales; Poaceae. The record is from Rfam.
UUGAUACUCUCUCCGUCCCAAAAUUCUUGUCUUAGAUUUGUCUAAAUACGGAUGUAUCAAGUCACGUUUUAGUGUUAGAUACAUCCGUCUCUAGAAAAAUCUAAGACAAGAAUUUUGGGACGGAGGAAGUAGAUA